AAAAAGCACUAACAAUACAACAUCAACUUAGAGAGUGAGUUUUAACAAAAGAUAUUUCUUUUAGAAUACCGUCCGAAAGAUGAUAAAUUCUUUUGCACUUUUUGAUUAUGCUGAUGUCGUGGGAAAUAGUAAUCACAGCAGAGUGAGAACAAUAAGUUGAGAUAAUAUCAAUGAUUUGUAUCGUUUGCUCAUUCAUUGAUGAGUUUUUUGAAAGUUCAUCUUGGAAAAUGAUCGGUUCGUCUAUCAGAAUCAGAUUGUAGUUUUUAGAAUAAAGUAUUAUUCUGCAUGCGUAAAGGUACCUAAGAUAAAUUUCAGAAAUUACAAAUAUUGGAGGUUUACUGGAAUUUCUGGAACUUCUUAGACAAAGUGGUAAAGAUUUCUGUUUUGACUGAUCUUCCUCAUGGAUAUUAAUAUGACUGUUCUGAAGAGAAAUCUGUGAAUUUAUUCCAUUUAAUGUAUUAAUUACGUACUUAUAAAUUCCACAAAUCUUAAGUACACUAUGAACUUCAUUAUCACUGUAUUGGUUGAAUGGGUCAAUUACAUCCCUGACGGUACAAUUUGGUAAAAUACACAUUUUUUGAGGAAUUACUCCAAUUUUAUUUCUAAGAAUAUGUCUUGGAAUAGAGUUAAUUGGCUGGCCAAGCAGAGAUAUUGUUCCUGAGAUAACUGGAGAUAUUUUCAGAAUUGAGCUAAAAAUAGAAGAUUUUCCAGACCCUGUUCUUCCAAUUAAUCCAACAACUUCUCCAUUGAAUGCUUUCAAAGAAAUAUCCUUGAGAAUUGAACUCGUACAUAAAUUUCCCUUAUCAGGAAUUUCAUAGUUAAUGAAUACAUUUGAAAUGGAUAGAACUGGAUUUCUAUGGUUAGACAUAUCAUUAGCCGAAAGAAGUGAGACGAAAAUGUUAUGGUAAGUCUUCUUGAAGUUGGUGUGAUCUGAAUCUCUAUUUAAGAAAAGAGAUUUACGUGUAGAAUUGUUUUUAAGUCUAAGAAGCAUAUUC
Molecule: non-coding RNA, 995 nt
Filed under: Cryptosporidium parvum
Lineage: Eukaryota; Apicomplexa; Conoidasida; Eucoccidiorida; Cryptosporidiidae
Source: RNAcentral